Molecule: ribosomal RNA, 482 nt
Filed under: uncultured bacterium
Lineage: Bacteria
Description: partial 16S ribosomal RNA
Rfam family: Bacterial small subunit ribosomal RNA
Source: RNAcentral
AUUGAACGCUGGCGGCAUGCCUUACACAUGCAAGUCGAACGGUAACGGGCCUUCGGGUGCCGACGAGUGGCGAACGGGUGCGUAAUACAUCGGAACGUGCCCGAUCGUGGGGGAUAACGAGGCGAAAGCUUUGCUAAUACCGCAUACGAUCUACGGAUGAAAGCAGGGGACCGCAAGGCCUUGCGCGGACGGAGCGGCCGAUGGCAGAUUAGGUAGUUGGUGGGAUAAAAGCUUACCAAGCCGACGAUCGGUAGCUGGUCUGAGAGGAUGAUCAGCCACACUGGGACUGAGACACGGCCCAGACUCCUACGGGAGGCAGCAGUGGGGAAUUUUGGACAAUGGGCGCAAGCCUGAUCCAGCCAUGCCGCGUGCAGGAUGAAGGCCUUCGGGUUGUAAACUGCUUUUGUACGGAACGAAAAGCCUUCUUUUAAUACAGGAGGGUCAUGACGGUACCGUAAGAAUAAGCACCGGCUAACUACGUG